AUGGGCGGGGCGAAGGCGGAGCCACGCCUCUUCCCUGGGGCGGGGCGGGGCCAAGAAGUGUCUGUGUGUCGUUCGUGUCCGUGUGUCGUUCGUGUCCGUGUUCCUGUCGCUGUCGCCUGCCUUUGUCAGCCGCUGGCCCUGCCCCUGACCCAUACCUACCCCUGUUCCAUCUCCUUACCAGCCGCUGUCCGGGUUGCAUCCCUGCCCCUGUUCCACCGUUGUCUCAACCCUUGUCCCUGUCUUCUGCCCUUGUCCCCGCCCGUUCCUGUUCCAUCCCCGCCCCUGUCCUGUCCCCUCUCUGCCCCUGUUGCUGCUCCUGCUCCUGCUCCUGUCCCUGUCCCUGUCCCUGUCCCUAUCCAUUUACCUGUCCCUGUCGCAUUCCCUGUGCCAUCUCUGUUCCUGCCCUGUCCCUAUCCCUUUACCUGCUCCAGUCCCUGCUUCUCUCCCUGUCCCUGUCCGCAGGGAUCUGUUCGCAGCUCCUGCCCUGCCCAGCAGCUCCUCCAGCGCCUCCUGCCCCUCUCCCAGCCGUGCAUCUUGCCAGGGCUCCCCAAGGGGCUGGAUAAAGAUGGUGAGUGGGAGACGGAGAGGCCAUUUCAUCCCACACCCUUCAGCCCCUUCUCUCAGCAGCUACGGCCACCUCACUCUCCCGGGGGGCUCAGGGGACAUUCCCGCUGGGUUUUCAGCCUUUUGAGCAAUCCUUCUUCUGAAAUUGAGGGGUUUUGUCCAGAAUGGGCGUGGUGUGUACGUGAUGAAGGAUAUGGAGAAUUUCUUUUUCAGUUUGGAUUCUCACAGCAUCCUUGUUUUUGGGGUUGGUUGGAUGAAAAGGCUGAAUAAAGGUCAUAAACCCAAUGUUGUACCAGGAAGAUGUGUGACUGAUUCCAUGUAACUUGAGGCACCAUCAGACAUGAGGUGGUCAGAAGUGUUUUUUUCUUAAAGCCUGUCUGCAUAUCAUAUGUUUUCCUUGUUUCUCUGCAACACCACAGGCAAGGAGCAAUUGCUGUGUUUGGAUCACAUGAAUCUUUGCCUCUGAAAUAAUAGAAGAAAGUGUAUGGUCCAUGUGGACAUCAGAAAAAGCACUCAUCCUUCCACAUGGGUCUCAAAGGGAUGUAAUGAAAUGCAAAUACAGUGUUAUAUCCUUCAUUCCCCAGCAAUAAGUGAUUUCCCUGAUGGAAUGUGUGGGAAAAUGACUGGGUGUAAAAUUAGAGAAAACUGGGGAGUUAUAUUCGCAUUCUAACAGAAGUUAGUACAGAAAACAGAGGGUGAAGCGCAGUUGUGACUCCCUGGAUGUGAUGUGGUCAGCACACCCAACUUCCCACAUGCAAUCCAUGCUAAAGGGGACUGAAGGGAGUGGAGUGGAGUGGAGACACCAGGGCCUGAUGAAAUCCUAGCAAGAGGGGAGUUCAGUGAUGCAGAUGAACUGUAUAGCAGCUGAAAACCAGGGGGAAAAGGAGAUGCUUUGCUGCUGAACCAGAGCAAGAUCACAAAUGCCCACCUCCAUCCCAGAGGCUACCUCAGGUGUGACACUGACAUUGCCCACCUCCAAGGGACAACCAUCCCACACUGAACAUGAUGUAUGAUUGAAGUUACUCAAGCUAGCUCAAAAAUAGUAUAAAAGUAAGUUAAAAAUCAGGAGAAGUUAGGAAGGGUUCCACUGUAACUUCUGGGAUUGACUGAUCAGGCUGAACCUGUAAGAACUGUACUCUAUGUAUGGUGAUUGUUUAUCUCAAUUGCUCUGAAUACGUUUUUGCAGACAGAUAUUAUCACCAACAAUCUUUGCACCUUAAUCUAUCACAGUUUUCUGUUACAUUAAUAAAAGAUUAUUAUUAUGUAAACUGUCCUUCAAGGUGUGAGUCCUUCAAGAGCAUUAACAGUGGGUAAGAUACUUGACUGUGGAGACAUAGGAGAGAGUUUCUCUAAUGCUUUUGCUAUGUAUUCCUGGAUAUUUUCUAGUCUCUUGGUGCCAAGAGAGCAGCUAGAGGAGUGGAAGCCCUCAAAGAGUUUUUUUGUGUUUCCAUGUGACCCUGAACAAGUCAGUUGAACCACCUUCUGAUCCAGUGGACUGUUCAGUGAAGAGUUGGACAUUAGGGAGAAUGUCUUCUCAGAAUGGGUGAUUAGACAUUGGGAAUGAGCUGCUCAGGGAGGUGGAGGAGUCACUGUUCUGGAGCUCUUUAGAGAAAGACUGGACAUAGCAGUCAUUUCCAUGGUCUGGUUGACAAAGUGCUGUUCACUCAUAGGUUGGACUGGGUGAGCUUAGAAGUCUUUUCCGACCUAAUUGAUUCUGUGAUUCUGUCCCCAUAGUGGGACCCUGGCAGACUGGUCGAGCACAAGUGUCUCGGCUUUCCUUGGGCGCUGACAGUCAGAUCAAACACGCAGGGUUUGGGAGAAUCUCGGCUUCCCGGGAGGGAUUCCCAAACCCCCACUUGCCCUGAGCCCGUCCCGCCGCUAGGGGACGCCACACCCCCACGACGCUGGUUCCGCUGCCAUGGUAACAGCAGGAGGGGCGCGGCCAGCUUGCCGUCUGGCUGCUAGGCAGCGGAGCACAGGGGUGGGGCGGAACCUCCGCCGCAAAGCGACUGUUCGUAAAAAGGAGGGGAAAAAAAAAAAAAAACCAACCUAAAUCCCGUGGUGUUGUAAAAUGCCGUGAGGCGCGGCCGGCGGGGCCUGAGGGACAGAGCCCGGGCCCGGUCCCGCUCCAUAUGCCCCGAACCGCCCCGUCUCGCUCCAUGUGCGGCCGCUCCUCGUCCAC
This is a long non-coding RNA of Ficedula albicollis (Collared flycatcher), 2746 nucleotides long. The record is from Ensembl. Lineage: Eukaryota; Metazoa; Chordata; Aves; Passeriformes; Muscicapidae.